UGAGGAAUAUUGGGCAAUGGGGGCAACCCUGACCCAGCAAUGCCGCGUGCAGGAUGAGGCCCCUCGGGGUGUAAACUGCUUUUGUGAGGGAGCAGAUCAAGGAGCGUACCUCACGAAUAAGUCACGGCUAACUACGUGCCAGCAGCCGCGGUAAUACGUAGGUGGCGAACGUUAUCCGGAGUGACUGGGUGUAAAGGGUCCGUAGGCGGGAGGACAAGUCUGACGUGAAAGCGCCCGGCUCAACUGGGCGAGUGCGUUGGAAACUGUCUUUCUUGAAUCACGCAGAGGUCGGCGGAAUUCCCGGUGUAGUGGUGGAAUGCGUAGAGAUCGGGAGGAACCUCGAAAGCGAAGGCAGCCGACUGGGGGAUGAUUGACGCUGAGGGACGAAAGCGUGGGGAGCGAA
Molecule: ribosomal RNA, 403 nt
Filed under: uncultured bacterium
Lineage: Bacteria
Description: bacterial SSU rRNA
Rfam family: Bacterial small subunit ribosomal RNA
Source: RNAcentral